Polistes dominula (European paper wasp) is the source of this 5607-nucleotide unclassified non-coding RNA. The record is from RefSeq and is a predicted model, not a curated record. Lineage: Eukaryota; Metazoa; Arthropoda; Insecta; Hymenoptera; Vespidae.
UAGCUGUUUAAAAAUGAGCACGAACAAUGCACAGGCACUUUUUGCGUGCUCAAGAUGUUUUUCAAGGCAUCCUUUCGAGGAUCUUUCACCAGGACAACAAUUAUGCAAGGAAUGUAGAGGUGCAUUCCCUGUUGUGAAAUGCACAUACUGCAGGUCGGAGUUCCAACAGACGAUAAAAGGAAAUACAAGUACCAUAUGUAAAAAGUGCGAACAAAAUGUCAAGUCAUAUGGAAAACCAUCAGCGUGCGAAUAUUGCAACACCAUUGCUGCAUUUAUUGGCAGUAAGUGUCAACGGUGUACUAAUUCUGAAAAACGUUAUGGUCCUCCAGUCACUUGCGAGCAAUGCAAGCAGAAGUGUGCCUUUGACAGACAGGAUGAAGAUAAAAAGGUUGACGGCAAAUUGUUAUGUUGGCUUUGUACUCUAUCUUAUAAGCGGGCCUUGGCUAAGACGAAACAAUCAGAUGCUGAGAGGAGAGCGCAUAUGAAACUAGCUCAACAACGGGCCGCUAAACACAAGGAGCACAAAUUAAAAGGUCACAAUAAGAGGCCACAGAGAGUUGAUGUUACUAAGCUGCCACCGCAAUCAGAAGGAGGAGAUACGAAUGGCCCUACUCCAGUUAAGGUUGCACGAAUGGCCGGUGUACACGAUCCUCACGAUCCAAACAGUUCAGAUCAUGUGGUUGCAGUUACACAACUUAAGGAGAAAAUAGCUCAUCUUCAAAAACAAAUCAGUAUGAAAGAUAGUCAGCUCCUUGCUAAAGACAGACAGAUAACGGAAUUGAAGGCAAAAAAUUUUACAUCUGAGACAGAGCUACGCAAUAAGAUGAAAGCAACCGAAAAGGAAUACGAAGCUAAAGUAUCCAACAUGCAACAUAAAAUAUCGAGUUUGUUAAAGGAAGUAGCAUCAUUAUCGAAGACAUCCAAACGAGGUGACAGAGUAGCUGCUACUAAGACUGAAGCUGGGACCAACAGUGGAAGUGGAACAGACAGCCCUGUACCUUGAUAAGAUCGAUAACAACGAAUGGAGAAAAGGGUCCAGUUUUUCCAUUCACUCGUCGCGCGUAUUUUGAAACAACGCUUACGCGAAAUGGAACGUUCUUAAGGCAUCUCGCACACGAGUCUUAAUAAACAAGGUAACGAGAAGAAACGAGAACGACGUAACAACAAGGACAACGCAACGACAACGAUGACAGAGACGAGUUGAGAUCGUCAACCUUUCUUCUCGAUUUUCACGACUACUCGCAUCAGGGAAUCCUUCAUUUCCCCUAGCGAAAGAAAGAAGUUUUCGCGCGAAUCGACACUCGACGACUACUAACCCAGAUACGUUACUUCGGGGUCGAUGAUCUUUUCUCUUCUCGAAGAACCGGCAGAUCUACGAAGACCGUCAUUUUCUAUGGUUCUUCUUAACACUAGGAUGCAUCUUAGACGAAUCUUAUUUUCUUUAUUUCAUUCUCUUUUCGAAUUCCCCAAGAAUAUCUCAAUUUCUCGUACGAAGAAGUUAAAUAUGUAUAAGUAUAGAUAGUAAGUACUAAUAUACUUGGUUAUUUGAAUUUAAUAUAUUUGUAAACGGUCUUUCGCACAUGUACGAUGGCAUCGAAGUCAAAGAUAAUUUUAGCGACAAAACGUUGUUAGUCCAAAGUGAAACGUACGACGGCCUUAACAAUUUCUAGAAGAAGGUCAAAUGCAUCAACGCUGUUCCGGUUCGAAGCUACGAGUGUUAUCGACCUCGUACCAAGCCAGACGUGUCGGCAAAGAAACCUAGACGUUUUGGGUUCGGUUUUUCUUUUGCGACAAAUUUAUUUUCAUUCGACGGAAGGGCGACAAUUUUCUUGCAAGAUCGUGCUCAAAAUGAUCGCGGAGAAUUCUUAAGACUACGAAAACAUGAUAAUUAAGAAAAUAAUAGUAACGUGUCGUUAGAAAUUGGGGGGAAGUUAGAACCAACCGUCUUGGUGAGUCGCGUUGCUUUAAAGGCCAUCGUACUCUUUCGCUGGUAGCGAAAUGUAAACCGGAAAAGCGAGAAGCAAGUGAAUUAGCGAAGUGAGUCCGCGAUUCCCCCUUCCAAAGUAGCGUUCUACGAGCCCUCUCCUACCGCUUCGUCCUUCUUUCUCCUCGUUCGCAGCACCUUCUUCCAUUCUCUCGCCACGGAUCCGAAAGAAGGUCUCUACCGGUCGUUGUCCCACUUGGAGGUCUACUUGGACUUGGACUUGGACCACACCAUAGGCAUGGUGCGCUGAGUAACGAGGUUCCGAUACCCCCAUAGGGGAUCCCCUUUUACACCUACCUACGCGUUCUUGCGUUUGUACGUGUGUACAAGCCUUCCAGGGGCGGAUCUUCUUCGAUGUUUUUCUAUCUUUCUUCUUUCAAUAUUUGUUUUCUUCUUCGCACAAACAAAAACUUUAGUCUCGCGAGAAGACACGUUUGUUUGAAGCUAUGACGAGUUCGUAUAUCGAUUGGAUUGAAUGAUAUUUUGUCAAAGUACGACGUAAUAUUGAACGUAAUGCUCGAUCCGUUCCUGUAGAGUGGCACGUUCUGCCAUCGAAACCAAACCGCAUUACUCGCCUAACUGUACAUAGCAGUGUGUGUACCAAGGUACCGUAUAGGUACGACGACUAAACGGUCGUAAAACCGUGAGUGCGCGAGGACGUCGUCCACACGUGGGCCACUAUGCGCGCGUCUAUGCGUGUACAGGUGCGCCAGGUACCGUUCUACGACCGGACAGGAGACACGGCCAAAAGUAAAACCGAAUUCGUUUUCGGUAAAGAGCCUCAUGUCAUACGAUCUCUAUACGUACUACUAAUACUUUUUAUACGUAUGAGAUACAUAUGUAUACAUAACUCGUCUUUUUUUUUUGUUACAUUUUCUUACCUCUUCCUCCUGGAAUAUCCUUACGAUGAUCGAAGCGUCUUUCAUUAUAUUCGAUUACUUAUUAUGUAACGUGCAGAUGAAUCGUCACGACAGGUCGGAGACAUCGUUUAUUCGAUAUUCUCAUCUUAAACCGAUUCAAAGCUACUAACGUAAGUGAGAUAAUUUAUAGCGAUGCUCGAAAUGAUACUUUAUUUAAAAAGGUCGAUGAACGCAAAUUUCGCCCGAUCAUCGACCCGUUUCUCAUUUGACUUUGAAGACUACAUAUAUACGACUAGAAUAUUAAUUUAUACACUCUAAUGGAAAUUUGUCCUGUAUUAAAAAGUUGAAAAGAGAUAGGAAAAGUAUAAGUGGAAACAGAUGGGAUCUAGUCAGACCCGUGCGGUUUCCGCGAGCAAAGUAGUAGUAGUGGUCGACGUCAGAUCGUACGUGCGCUGGUGCUUUCAAUGAGGCCACGUGAUCAGUGGCAGUGGCGUAGUAUCGAGGGGACCUGUCUCUCUUUCUUCUCGUUUCCUCUCCAGAGUCACGGCCGACCGCUAUUUCGUGUCUCUUACCCGCUAGCGGGCUGCGCACUUUUAGCGAGAAUUGUGCGGCCUGCGCAGCUCGGUUCACCGUUCCGUGGGUUGUUGAACCCGACUCUCUUGCGCGCUGCAUAACCCAUUUUGUAAUAGCACACUUCGUGCCGCGAACCGGCACAUCGGCAUCCUUAUACGAAACGGACCGCUUUAACGAUCUCUAACGCGUAUCUAUCGCGAUCGAUGACGAAUUUUCUUAAAUCCCUUUUCCUUACAACUUUUCACUUUCAAACGGAAUAACAGUAGGACGAUAACUUUGAAUGUAAAAAAAAAAGAAAAAAAAAAAGCAACGUGGUGUGCAACCCUACUGUUAUAAACUAUAACUUAACGAGUUAUUAUUGGAUUUUUCUUUUAAUAUUUCUACACGGUGAUAGAAAAUUGUUGAUUAUUUCGGUCGUAUAAUGGUGUCUACUAGCGUUAAGAGUCUUGAGGCAGGUCGAACGCUUUCGUUUCUUGCCAGCGGUGGUUGCUGCGUUUGAUGCACGAGCUUAAUGAAAUGAUAUUUGAUAAGCUUCUGUUAUUACUUUUAUGUAAUUUCAUCAUUGAUAUUUUGAAACAUUCUAGUCUAAUUACGGUACAUAUAAACAAUUGGUCACAUUACUUAGUCAUUAUGAGAUGAAAUUAAUAAUCGUUCGAAAUAAAUCGUACGUACGUAAUAGUUGUGUGUGUAUGUGUGUGUGAGAGAGAGAGAUUAAAUAACGGAGUCCGCUCGUUUCCGCAUUGAAUGGCGAACUUCAAUGUCAAUGCCAGCCGCCCUUUCACCUUAUAUAACAAACGACCGUGCUCGCAGGCUCCCAACUCGCGUACAUAUUAUUCCUUUCGACUACGUUCCUACCAAUGAACUAAACUUUCCACGAAAGCAACAAUCAUUUUUCAAUAAUUUAAGUCUUUGACCGUUCACUUCCUCUCGUCCUACUUUGGAUGUUUGAAGAAAUUUUUUGUCCAACAUGUUAUUCUCCUAGAUAAACGAUGUCCUGUCGAUUAUAAGAUGAUAUAUCAACUAUGGUUUUAAGUAAUUAGUCACUUAUCGACAAAAUGCUAAUCAACUUGUCACAAUUUUGCUAGAAGCGUCCAUCAUUAUUAUGCUAAUACGAUCGAAUAAUCACUUCAUCGGAAUAUUCAUUAUUUUGAAAUGAAAUUAUUAUUUUGAAAAUUUAUAUUUAUUUCUCUUGAUCAAACUCAAACUACGUUCGUGUACAUCGCUAUCGAAUUGCUUCCUGCUUCACUUCUUCCUCGGUUUACAUAUUAUUGCAUCGUACUAGUUGUUAAUAAUUAAUUAUUAAUUAACCAAGACUCUAUCUUCGAGAUGACAAUGAAAUUUGUAUAAUCUUUUCUUACUCUAAUAGAAUGACAUUAGGAAUUUUGUAUUACGUCCCCGUUUUUCAUGAAAUCAAAACUGUAUGGUAAUAUCAAUCAACGUUUGCUUUCGAUCAUACAAUCAUCGAUGUUUUCACCGAAAAAAGAAAAACAAAAUAAAUUUACAAUAAUAAAAAGAAUACAUAAUCGAGCUAAAAAAAACUCCUCAUACAAUGUGUCCAAAUAGAAAUUCAUUAUCCAGUGAGAUAUAUUAGGAUGAACCAAAUGUUCGCAAGUUUAUUGUGUUGUUUCAGACAGUGCAACUUUCAGUCAAUAAAAUGACUUUAUAUGCGAGUGAAAUAUCAAUUUAAAAAUGCACACAUAAACUUUUGAUUAACCCUAAUAUUUUUCGAUACGAAUCUUUAGAGUCUGAUAAUGGAAAAAUAAAAAAGAAACUCAAACGAAGUAAAAUGAGGGAAAUAAGGAAUAAUUGUUAGUUCAGUUAGGCAAGGAAAAGUAUGUGUCGAGAGUUGAGGUUGAGGUUGAGGUUGACGUUGGAGGAAAAGUUGAACGGUUCGAGAGAGACUCGGUGCUGUCACUAGUAGUUGGAGCAAGGCUAAAAGAGAAGCGAAGUGAAGCGAAGGGAGGGAAUCUCACGGCUGACGGCUGGCCGUGACUUUACUCAACUCAGCCGGCACUCGGGCCGGCGCAACGCGUCAAUGUAGAACGGUCAUUGACUCUUGGAGAGCUCGAUUCGCGAGCCUCCUAUAUACCUAGUACCUACGGCUACGCUUUACACGUUACGUUAUUUCUCCACGAGACACCGGGUAUAUGAUUUUUUUUUCUUCCAAUCCCCCUAAAUAUAAACCCAGUC